This 406-nucleotide long non-coding RNA is filed under the name Medicago truncatula (barrel medic). RNAcentral describes it as "long non-coding RNA (MTRU_LNC006703)". Lineage: Eukaryota; Viridiplantae; Streptophyta; Magnoliopsida; Fabales; Fabaceae. The record is from RNAcentral.
GGAUAGUCUUGCUAUCAUGGGCUUGGUCUUUGGCACUUUAGGAACAAUAGCCAGCUCUAUACUAGUAUCAGAUGUGCUAUGAUAGCCUUCAAGAUCAUCUUUGGUUAUGACAACUGUGUCCCCAGAGGGAGAGUGUGGCAAAGGACAAGGUCUUUGCUUGUUGUAGUUUUGAACAGGGUCUUUGUGUUUGAGAACUGCAUCCCCAGAGGGGGAGCAUGGUAAAGGACAAGGUCUUUGCUUGUAAUAAUUUUGAACAGCCUGCUUAUAAUACAUGCAGAGAUUAUACAAAAACUUAAUGCCCAAGAGAGAAAUCAUUACCAUAAAAGUUUAACAAUUAUUAUAUGGUAUCACUGGCCUUCUAGAAAGUAAAAGGGCCAACAACAACAACAAAAGAACGGGGUUAUAC